This 463-nucleotide ribosomal RNA is filed under the name uncultured bacterium. Its description in RNAcentral is "bacterial SSU rRNA". It matches the Rfam family "Bacterial small subunit ribosomal RNA", at positions 28 to 507 of the family's 1533-position model. The record is from RNAcentral.
GACGAACGCUGGCGGCGUGCUUAACACAUGCAAGUCGAACGGUGACGAGGAGCUUGCUCCUCUGAUCAGUGGCGAACGGGUGAGUAACACGUGAGCAACCUGCCCCAGACUCUGGGAUAACAGUUGGAAACAGCUGCUAAUACCGGAUACGAGACGGAGAGGCAUCUCUACCGUCUGGAAAGUUUUUCGGUCUGGGAUGGACUCGCGGCCUAUCAGCUAGUUGGUGAGGUAAUGGCUCACCAAGGCGACGACGGGUAGCCGGCCUGAGAGGGCGACCGGCCACACUGGGACUGAGACACGGCCCAGACUCCUACGGGGGGCAGCAGUAGGGAAUCUUCGGCAAUGGGCGGAAGCCUGACCGAGCGACGCCGCGUGAGGGUACGAAGGCCUUCGGGUUGUAAACCUCUGUCUGGGGGGACGAGUAAGGACGGUACCCCCGGAGGAAGCCCCGGCUAACUACGUG